This 1468-nucleotide ribosomal RNA is filed under the name uncultured Bordetella sp. RNAcentral describes it as "partial 16S-23S ribosomal RNA intergenic spacer". It matches the Rfam family "Bacterial small subunit ribosomal RNA". The record is from RNAcentral. Lineage: Bacteria; Pseudomonadati; Pseudomonadota; Betaproteobacteria; Burkholderiales; Alcaligenaceae.
UUUUGAUCCUGGCUCAGAUUGAACGCUGGCGGGAUGCUUUACACAUGCAAGUCGAACGGCAGCACGGACUUCGGUCUGGUGGCGAGUAUGGCGAACGGGUGAGUAAUGUAUCGGAACGUGCCUGUGUAGCAGGGGAUAACUACGCGAAAGCGUAGCUAUUACCACAUACGCCCUUCGAAGGAAAAGCAGGGGGACCUUCGGGCCUCGCACUAUUAGAACGGCCGAUAUCGGAUUAGCUAGUUGGUGGGGUAACGGCUCUACGCAAGGCGACGAUCCGUAGCUGGUUUGAGGACGACCAGCCACGCAGGGACGGACGGCCCAGACUCCACCACGGGAGGCAGCAGUGGGGGUACGGACAAUGGGGAAACCCUGAUCCAGCCAUCCCGCGUGUGCGAUGAAGGCCUUCAGGUUGUAAAGCACUUUUGGCAGGAAAGAAACGGCACGGGAUAAUACCCCGUGCAACUGACGACACCUGCAGAAUAAGCACCGGCUAACUACGUGCCAGCAGCCGCGGUAAUACGUAGGGUAAAGCGUUAAUCGGAAUUACUGGGCGUAAAGCGUGCGCAGGCGGUUCGGAAAGAAGAUGUGAAAUCCCAGAGCUUAACUGGAACUGCAUUUUAACUACCGACUGAGAGUGUGUCAGAGGGAGUGGAAUUCCCGCGAUGUAGCAGUGGUAAAAGUAGAUAGCGGAGGAACACCGAUGGCGAAGGCAGCCUCCUGGGAUAACAUGACGCUCAUGCACGAAGCAUUGAGGGCAAGCAGGAUUAGAUACCUGGUAGUCCACGCCCUAAACGAUGUCAACUAGCUGUUGGGGCAGCGGACACUUGGUAGCGCAACUAACGCGUGAAGUUGGUGACCGCCUGGGAGUACGGUCGCAAGAUUAAAACUCAAAGGAAUUGACGGGGACCGCACAAGCGGUGGAUGAUGUGGAUUAAUUCGAUGCGGCGCGAAAAGCACUUACUACCGACAUGUCUGGAAUCCCGAAGAGAUUUGGGAGUGCUCGCAAGAGAACCGGAACAGGUGUAUGGCUGUCGUCAGCUCGUGUCGUGAGAUGUUGGGUUAAGUCCUGACAAACUCAACCCUUGUCGAUAGUUGCUACGAAGGGCACUCUAAUGGGAACUGCCGGUGGCUGACCGGAGGGGAAGGUGGGGAUGACGUCAAGUCCUCAUGGCCCAUAUGGGUAGGGCUUCACACGUCAUACAAUGGUCGGGACAGAGGGUCGCCAACCCGCGAGGGGAGCCAAUCCCAGAAACCCGAUCAUGAAGUCAGGAUCGCAGUCUGCAACUCGACUGCGUGAAGUCGGAAUCUUCAAUGUCGCGGUCAGCAUGUCGCGGUGAAUACGUUCCCGGGUCGCAGCCACACACCCGUCACCAUGGGAGUGGGUUUUACCAGAAAUGGUUAGCCUAACCGUAAGGAGGGCGAUUACCACGGUAGGAUUCAUGACUGGGGUGAAGUCGUAACAAGGUAG